RNAcentral lists this long non-coding RNA (1508 nucleotides) under Penaeus japonicus. Its description in RNAcentral is "uncharacterized LOC122262895". The record is from RNAcentral. Lineage: Eukaryota; Metazoa; Arthropoda; Malacostraca; Decapoda; Penaeidae.
UAAAUAAAGAAACCUACUUAAUUGAACGUGCAACAGGUUCAAAGCCUUUGCAUUUGAGUGGCCGGAGAAGAGCACAGCUCCUGUAUUGCAGAGAGAAGAGUCUGCACUGUGUGAAUUUGCAAGGCUGCUGUGUGUUAGUGGCUUUCUCUUCUCUUUCUCUCUCUUUUCACUGUUCAUCUGUACUCUUCUCUCUCUCUCUCUAUUUCUUUCUUUAUUACUCUCUCUCUCUCUCUUUCUCUCUCUCUCUCUCUCUCUCUCUCUCUCUCUCUCUCUCUCUCUCUCUCUCUCUCUCUCUCUCUCUCUCUCUCUCCCUACUUCCAUUCCUCUCCCUCUAUUCCUCCCUUGUUCCUCUCCCCGUCUCCCUCCCCCAUGGCCCGCUGGAUGGCCCUCCUUCUUAUCCUGGCACUCCUUGGCACUCAAACCAUCGGCUACAGCUUACAGGGUGGUCUAACAAGCGGGCAAGACUGGUACCGCUAUGACAACGCGAGAGGCAAUUGGCAACGUAACAGGGUCCUGAAAAAAUUGUUGGACCUGCAGUGUCCAGAAUGUUUCAUACGUAUUGAAAGGACAUGCAUGAAGAAAUUCCUUUGUACCUAGCCUGUGUCCAAACGGCCCUCGAUCCCUCGACCCCCUGGAAUCCGUUUUGAGUGAGAUCCUUCGAUAAAUCUUCAAAUUGAGAAGAAAAGAGGAAGAUGAAGGAGGAUUGGGUCACGCGUUUCCAGUUAGCGAAUCACAGGAGAAGGAAAAGGAUUGUCGACGAUCAGAAGAUUGGCGGUGAUUCCAAUCGGUGAUUGGAAAUGAUUCGUAUAUUGAUAUUCGGGGGGGGGGGGAGAAUAACCAAGUGAUUGGUAACUGUCUUGAGUCUGGAAAUUCAUUAAUUCAUAAAUUCAUUGGCGACUGUCUCCAAACUGAAAAAUAAAAUUAAAAAUAGAAAUGGAGUUUUGACAAGUGUCACCCAUCUGGAAAUUCAUGGUAAAAAAAAAAAAAAAAAAAAAAAAAAAAAAAAAACAUGGUACUGGACACUUGAUUCAAAUCCGCAAAUAAAUAGCAUCACCCGAUUCCAAUCUCCCAACCGAUCUAUUUAGUGCAUUAUGAUUUUCAAAGACUAUAUAUAUCCAAUGCAAUGUCAAAAAUAUUCGAAAUGGUCGAAAUCCCAAUUCAAGAUUUAAUUCAUCAAUGUCUACCAUCUUUUUAGUUUAUAUUAUGUCUAUCUGUAUUCAAAAUCGCUGAUUAAUUAUUAACCACUUAUCAUAUUUCGCUUAAUACCUAUACAAAAAUGUGAAAUUGCAAGAUUUCAGAACCACUGUAUCAGCAUAACAAUUAUAAAAAAAAAUAUUACUAAAAAUAUCAUAUUUAUCAUAUUUAUGAGAAUUCAUGCUAUACUUUCAUAAACAUGACAUAAGCAAGUUCGAAACUUAACUGAAUUGGCACCGCUGUUUCAUCGGACGGUAAUUAUCUAUAAUCUCAUUAAUUCCUAAUUGAAUACCUAAUUAAAGAGCUAUAGUGAA